AGCUCAGAUACUCAAGACGGUAAGCUCUCUAUAUCACGUGCGAAGCUAACAUGUCCCACGAGAGCCACGAGAGCGACUCUCAUACCGACGCGACCUCUAGACGAUCUUGCAUUCACAUUGGAUACUUACUGGCUAUGGGUUAUGCCCAGGUCUCCCGUUCCAGGUGUCACGUUCGUAGCUACUAUGCCUUUUUGUUCGAGAAAUAACUAGAGAAUGUCAACGUUUACAUUCGAUUUUACUCGCAUGUGGAUAAUGCACAAUGGAAUUCAGUGAACCUUGUCUCCGGUAAUACAUUGCUGUUAUACGUUUCCUUGAAAGUAAAAUUACGGUUCGAUGCACUGUACGCUGCACAUUAAAUCCUUGAGAUUCUUUUUUU
Molecule: long non-coding RNA, 376 nt
Organism: Cephus cinctus (wheat stem sawfly)
Lineage: Eukaryota; Metazoa; Arthropoda; Insecta; Hymenoptera; Cephidae
Exons: 2
Source: RefSeq, a predicted model, not a curated record